This 207-nucleotide long non-coding RNA is filed under the name Chloebia gouldiae (Gouldian finch). RNAcentral describes it as "Erythrura gouldiae (Gouldian finch) lncRNA (ENSEGOG00005016101.1)". The record is from RNAcentral. Lineage: Eukaryota; Metazoa; Chordata; Aves; Passeriformes; Passeridae.
CUGGCCAGCUGCUUGUUCUUCCAGUACAGGAACAGGAAAAUGUCAGCUUGAGAAUCCAGCAGCUACAGAAAACUGGGUCAGUCUCACUGCUGAGGAAAGUUCCCUGUUGUCAGUGUGGAGACCAGGAGAGGUAAAAGGUAAGAGGUGUCUCUCUUUUUUUUUGUAUUGCUCACUUGUUCCUAACAACUCCUCCAAGCAAUACUUCUA